CUUAGUGCCAAUACUGACCUGGUUACUUCCCAUAGAGCCCAGGCUUAGAUAUCACACACAGCAGGCAUGCAGUGACAGAUGCCAUGUACAGUGCUAGGCACAGGAGCUGCAUGCACACACCCAGUCUAUGCCAGACCCCAUACACCCACACGCAAUUAGCAUCAUGCAAAGAGGCUUAGAUCCCAUAAGUAAACGUUCAGCUUCCAACGAGACAGCUCCAGGAAAGGUUUUAUGUACAUUGGAUUGACCAGGAACAGAAGUAACCAUCAUUACAGAAUGUUCACCUGCAGAAACCUAUAUGAGUUAUUCAGAGGAGAAACCACUGCUGGCAGCUCUGUCACGUCAUCUGUCAGCGGGACUUUGUGUCAAAUGCAAGACUCAAUUUUUAUGAUAUCUUUAUUUACUUUUUUUUUUCUUUCUAGCAACUGGCAUCAUAACUUGCCAUUAUAUUCUCUCAUUAUCAGACAUGAAUUAUAUGAAACUUUGCACCACAUCUAGGUAUGUGGUUUAAAGGGAUAUAAAACCUUUAUAUUUUGCUUUCCCGAUUCAGAUAGAGCAUGCAAUUUUAAGCAACUUUCUAAUUUACUCCUAUUAUCAAUUUUCUUCAUUAUCUUGGUAUCUUUAUUUGAAAAAGUAGGAAUGUAAGCCUAGGAGCCUGCCCAUUUUGGUUCAGAACCCUGGGUAGUGCUUGCUUAUUGGUGGCUACAUUUAGCUUUAAAGGGCCAGUCAACACCAGAAUUUUUGUUUUUUUAAAAGAUAGAUAAUCCCUUAAUUACCAAUUCCCCAGUUUUGCAUAACUAGCACAGUUAUAAUUAUACACGUUUUACCUCUGUAAUUACCUUGUAUCUAAGCCUCAGCAAACUGCCCCCUUAUUUCAGUUCUUUUGACAGACUUGCAGUUUAGCCAAUCAGAGCUGUCUCCAUGGUAAAUUCACGUGCAUGAGCUCAAUGGUAUCUAUAUGAAACACAUGAACUAAUGCUCAAUGGUAUCUAUAUGAAACACAUGAACUAAUCAAAAUGUAUUUAGAUUAGAGGCGGCCUUCAAGGUCUAAGAAAUUAGCAUAUGAACCUCCUAGGUUUAGCUUUCAACUAAGAAUACCAAGAGAGUAAAGCAAAAUUGGUGAUAAAAGUAAAUAGGAAAGUUGUUUAAAAUUACAUGCCCAAUUUGAAACAUGAAAGUUUUUUUUUUUUUUUGGACUUGACUGUCCCUUUAAGAGUAUCUUAUUGAUUUCACUGAUAAAACAACAUAUCAUUAAGAGCUAUAGAUAGAUUAUUACACGGACUACAAGUAACAUAUGUAGUUAGCAAAUAUGACCUGCUGGUCUGUACAGGUCACCUAUACAAUAGGCAUUGCCAAUUCCUGUUACUACACUUAGUACCGUUUGCAGGAAGAACACUCAAUGUAUUUUCUUCUACAUUAUUUGUAAAAUGUGAUUUUCAGUCUAUUAAUAACAGUCUAGAUAUAAAGAGCAUCCUCAAGACACACUCUGCAGUACUUGAACCCAGCUGAUACAAGUUGAAUAACCAUUUUACUGCAUAUACAUUUAUCAUUAUUAAAGGGAUAUAAAACCCAACAAUUUUAUUUUGUGAUUCGCACAGAACAUACCAUUUUUAAAAAAGUUUCCCAUUUACUUCUGUUAUCAAAUUUGCUUAAUUCCCAUGGUAUUCUUUGUUGAAAAGAUACCUAGGUAGGCAUCUGGAACACUAUAUGGCAGGAAACAGUGCUGCCAUUUAGUGCUCUUGAAAAUGGACAAUAUUCUUGCAAAACUGCUGCCAUAUAGUGCUCUAGAAAUGGGAAGAACUAAGCACAUGUCCUUAGUUUUCAAAAAAAGAUACCAAGGUAAGAAAGAAAAAUUAAUAAUAGAAGUAAAUAAGAAAUUUACUUAUAAUCACAUGGUCUAUCUGAAUCUUGAAAGAAAAAAUGUUAGGUUCCAUAUCCCUUUCAUUUCAGAUAUCAACAAGUGCCCAUUUUAGCAAUUUAUUAGGAGUUGUCAGUGGAAAUAGAGACUGGGCAUACAGACAUACUUUUAAAGGGACACUGAACCCAAAUUUUUUUCUUUCGUGAUUCAGAUAGAGCAUAAAAUUUUAAGCAACUUUCUAAUUUACUCCUAUUAUCAAAUUGUCUUCAUUCUCUUGGUAUCUUUAUUUGAAAUGCAAUGUAAGUUUAGAUGCCGGUCCAUUUUUGGUGAACAACCUGGGUUGUCUUUACUGAUUGGUGGAUAAAUUCAUCCACCAAUAAAAAAGUACUGUCCAGAGUUCUGAACAAAAAAGCUUAGAUGCCUUCUUUUUCAAAUAAAAAUAGCAAGAGAACGAAGAAAAAUUGAUAAUAGCAGUAAAUUAGAAAGUUGCUUAAAAUUGCAUGCUCUAUCUGAAUCAUGCAAUAAAAAAAUUUGGGUUCAGUGUCCCUUUAAGUAAGACUGAAACUUUACUAGUAUAUAAUACAUUUAUUUUAUAUAGCAACUAUAUGCAUUUUUUUUCUUGUUUGUUUCCGAGAUGAUGUCACACAAAUAAAAAAUUGCAAAGAAACCAA
Long non-coding RNA from Bombina bombina (fire-bellied toad), 2529 nucleotides. RefSeq lists it as uncharacterized. The transcript is spliced from 2 exons. Lineage: Eukaryota; Metazoa; Chordata; Amphibia; Anura; Bombinatoridae. The record is from RefSeq and is a predicted model, not a curated record.